This 265-nucleotide ribosomal RNA is filed under the name uncultured bacterium. Its description in RNAcentral is "partial 16S ribosomal RNA". It matches the Rfam family "Bacterial small subunit ribosomal RNA", at positions 793 to 1055 of the family's 1533-position model. The record is from RNAcentral.
GUCCACGCUGUAAACGAUGGAUACUAGAUGUUGCGGGUAUUGACCCCUGCAGCGUCGUCGCUAACGCAUUAAGUAUCCCGCCUGGGAAGUACGGCCGCAAGGCUAAAACUCAAAGGAAUUGACGGGGGCCCGCACAAGCGGUGGAGUAUGUGGUUUAAUUCGACGCAACGCGAAGAACCUUACCCAGACUUGACAUUGAUGGAAUCCUGUAGAGAUAUGGGAGUACCCGCAAGGGACCUGAAAACAGGUGCUGCAUGGCUGUCGU